UACGUAGGGGGCUAGCGUUGUCCGGAUUUAUUGGGCGUAAAGAGCGUGUAGGCGGCCAGGUAGGUCUGCUGUGAAAACUCGAGGCUCAACCUCGAGACGUCGGCGGAAACCAUCUGGCCAGAGUCCGGAAGAGGAGAGUGGAAUUCCUGGUGUAGCGGUGAAAUGCGCAGAUAUCAGGAAGAACACCCGUGGCGAAGGCGGCUCUCUGGGACGGUACUGACGCUGAGACGCGAAAGCGUGGGGAGCGAACAGG
Molecule: ribosomal RNA, 253 nt
Filed under: uncultured bacterium
Lineage: Bacteria
Description: partial 16S ribosomal RNA
Rfam family: Bacterial small subunit ribosomal RNA
Source: RNAcentral